AAGCGGUGGAGUAUGUGGUUUAAUUCGAUGCAACGCGAAGAACCUUACCUAGGUUUGACAUCCGGAAGACCUUCCCGAAAAGGAAGGGUGCCCUUCGGGGAAUUCCGAGACAGGUGCUGCAUGGCUGUCGUCAGCUCGUGCCGUGAGGUGUUGGGUUAAGUCCCGCAACGAGCGCAACCCUAUUGCCAGUUGCUACCAGGUAAUGCGUGGGCACUCGUGGUGAGACUGCCCCGGUUAACGGGGAGGAAGGUGGGGACGACGUCAAGUCAUCAUGGCCCUUACGCCUAGGGCUACACACGUACUACAAUGGCGCAUACAAAGGGCAGCGAUACCGCGAGGUGGAGCCAAUCCCAAAAAGUGACGUCCCAGUCCGGAUUGCAGUCUGCAACUCGACUGCAUGAAGUUGGAAUCGCUAGUAAUUCGAGAUCAGCAUGCUCGGGUGAAUGCGUUCCCGGGCCUU
RNAcentral lists this ribosomal RNA (460 nucleotides) under uncultured Desulfovibrio sp. Its description in RNAcentral is "bacterial SSU rRNA". It matches the Rfam family "Bacterial small subunit ribosomal RNA", at positions 927 to 1382 of the family's 1533-position model. Lineage: Bacteria; Pseudomonadati; Thermodesulfobacteriota; Desulfovibrionia; Desulfovibrionales; Desulfovibrionaceae. The record is from RNAcentral.